RNAcentral lists this ribosomal RNA (429 nucleotides) under Verrucomicrobiota bacterium. RNAcentral's name for it is "Verrucomicrobia bacterium partial 16S ribosomal RNA". It matches the Rfam family "Bacterial small subunit ribosomal RNA", at positions 355 to 776 of the family's 1533-position model. Lineage: Bacteria; Pseudomonadati; Verrucomicrobiota. The record is from RNAcentral.
UAGGGAAUCUUCCGCAAUGGACGAAAGUCUGACGGAGCAACGCCGCGUGAGUGAAGAAGGAUUUCGGUUCGUAAAACUCUGUUGUUAGGGAAGAAAAAAUGUAUAGUAACUAUAUACAAAAGAGACGGUACCUAACCAGAAAGCCACGGCUAACUACGUGCCAGCAGCCGCGGUAAUACGUAGGUGGCAAGCGUUGUCCGGAAUUAUUGGGCGUAAAGCUCGCGCAGGUGGUUUAGAAAGUCUGAUGUGAAAGCCCACGGCUCAACCGUGGAGGGUCAUUGGAAACUAAUAAACUUGAGUGCAGGAGAGAAAAGUGGAAUUCCUAGUGUAGCGGUGAAAUGCGUAGAGAUUAGGAGGAACACCGGUGGCGAAAGCGGCUUUUUGGCCUGCAACUGACACUGAGGAGCGAAAGCGUGGGGAGCAAAUAGG